UGCAGUCGAGCGGUAACAGAUCCAGCUUGCUGGAUGCUGACGAGCGGCGGACGGGUGAGUAAUGCAUAGGAAUCUGCCCGAUAGUGGGGGAUAACCUGGGGAAACCCAGGCUAAUACCGCAUACGUCCUACGGGAGAAAGGGGGCUCCGGCUCCCGCUAUGGGAUGAGCCUAUGUCGGAUUAGCUAGUUGGUGAGGUAACGGCUCACCAAGGCCACGAUCCGUAGCUGGUCUGAGAGGAUGAUCAGCCACAUCGGGACUGAGACACGGCCCGAACUCCUACGGGAGGCAGCAGUGGGGAAUAUUGGACAAUGGGGGAAACCCUGAUCCAGCCAUGCCGCGUGUGUGAAGAAGGCCCUCGGGUUGUAAAGCACUUUCAGCGAGGAAGAACGCCUAGCGGUUAAUACCCGCUAGGAAAGACAUCACUCGCAGAAGAAGCACCGGCUAACUCCGUGCCAGCAGCCGCGGUAAUACGGAGGGUGCAAGCGUUAAUCGGAAUUACUGGGCGUAAAGCGCGCGUAGGUGGCUUGAUAAGCCGGUUGUGAAAGCCCCGGGCUCAACCUGGGAACGGCAUCCGGAACUGUCAAGCUAGAGUGCAGGAGAGGAAGGUAGAAUUCCCGGUGUAGCGGUGAAAUGCGUAGAGAUCGGGAGGAAUACCAGUGGCGAAGGCGGCCUUCUGGACUGACACUGACACUGAG
This 696-nucleotide ribosomal RNA is filed under the name Vreelandella aquamarina. RNAcentral describes it as "bacterial SSU rRNA". It matches the Rfam family "Bacterial small subunit ribosomal RNA", at positions 56 to 750 of the family's 1533-position model. Lineage: Bacteria; Pseudomonadati; Pseudomonadota; Gammaproteobacteria; Oceanospirillales; Halomonadaceae. The record is from RNAcentral.